Molecule: long non-coding RNA, 1441 nt
Organism: Bubalus bubalis (water buffalo)
Lineage: Eukaryota; Metazoa; Chordata; Mammalia; Artiodactyla; Bovidae
Exons: 2
Source: RefSeq, a predicted model, not a curated record
UCCUGAGGGUGCCUGGUGCCGUGUCCUGCAAGGGCUCCCUCCCUCUAUGUUCCCAGGCUGCGAGGAUGAAUGCCACCGUAGAGAAUAAAGUGGAAGUAGGGCUCAGCCAGGCUUGAGUGCCCAGGACUGUCACUGCCCGCCCCUGGGGAGGCCCCUUCCCCCACUCACCUCUGUACAAUUGCUUCCUCUGUUCCCCAGCUCCGCUUCCCUCAGGGUCCCAUGCAAACCAGACUCGUGAUAAAGGCCACCAUUGAUGGGCACUUCCUCUGCACCAGGCACUGGGCCGGGCCCUCCAGACCCAUUUUCUCAUCGAAUUCAUAGCACCACCCCCACAGACUUGGUAGGCGUAGUCCUGUCCCCAAAAUGAGGUUCACAGAGGUCAGAGGAAUGAUCUCAAGGUCAUGGCGGCAGAGCCGAGCUCAGUGAUGUCAAAGCCAGACACACCAUGAUUCUGCUGGUCUUUUCGUCACGUUGCAAGACGGUUGCUGCGGCUCCAGAUGUCACGUCUGCCCUCAAGGCUGAAAAAGGAGGGAAGAGCACAAAUUAGUGGCACUAUUGGUGUUGAAUAUUUCUUUAUCAGUCAUUUAUUGUUGCUUAAAAUACAGUCGUAAAACUUAGUGGCUCAAAACAACAAUUAUUUAUUGGUUCAUGUUUCUUGGCAUCAGAGUUUGGGCUGGGAUCAGCUGGCAGUUCUUCCACUGGUCUAAUGGGUUCACUCAGCGACAGCAGUUGGUGGCUCAGUAGGCGCUAUAUUGUCCAAGAGAGUCUAAGUUGUGUAUUGCGUAUCUGGUAUUUGCUGCUGGCUUUUAAGAUGUGAUGACAGAAGCAGAGGUCAGAGUGAUGCCAUUGCUAGAAGGGGACCACUACCCAAGGACUGUAGGUAGCCUCUGCCAGCUGGAAAAGGCAAGAAGUGGACUCCUUCCCUGAAACUUUCAGAAAGAUCAAACUCUGCCAAUACCUUGAUUUUACCCCAGUAAGACCAGUUUUGGACUUCAGACAUCAGGAACUAUAAGAGAAUAAAUGUGCUAUGCCACUUAUUGCAGCAGCAAUAAGAAACUAUCUCCCUCCAUUGCUCUCUCAUUCUCUAAGGUAGAGGUUAGCCAACUAUGGCCUCGUUGCCUGAUUUUGUAAAUAACUUGUAUUGGAACAUACAUGUCCUUCCCUAUUAUCUAUGUCUGCUUUCACGCUGCAGCAGCACAGGAACUGUGACGGAGACUGAAUGGCCCACAAAGUCUAAAAUAUUUACUAUCUGGCCCUUUGUAAGAAUAGCUUGCCAGCCCCUGCCUGCUCUAAGAGGCUGGCUGAGGCUUCCUUGCAUGUUGGUUUCAGGAUAGCAAGAGUACAAGAAUUUGCUUCAAAGUUCUGGGAAAGAGCCAACAGUUUCAAAGCCUCCUUUUAUCAGGAAAGCAAAGCCUUCCCACCGAUUCCCAACCAGACAUCC